UUUGAGGGGAAUGUCGUCUGGCUCGAGGUUGCUGUGACUGCUUCAUUUUGUGGAAGAGAUCUCGGACCAGGCUUCAUUCCCCCCAAU
Molecule: microRNA precursor, 87 nt
Filed under: Ensete ventricosum
Lineage: Eukaryota; Viridiplantae; Streptophyta; Magnoliopsida; Zingiberales; Musaceae
Also listed under: 2 other names
Description: mir-166 microRNA precursor family
Rfam family: mir-166 microRNA precursor family
About the family: This family represents the plant microRNA (miRNA) precursor mir-166. Animal miRNAs are transcribed as ~70nt precursors and subsequently processed by the Dicer enzyme to give a ~22nt product.
Source: Rfam by way of RNAcentral